AGACAAUAAUAGCAGAACAGAUCAGCUCCUGGCAAUGGACUAAAUGUCAGCUGCUGGUCUUUGUAACAGCUGAUGCGGCAGAUAGAAGAGGAGACAAGUCCCAUCUGGAAGGCUCCAUGGCAGAGCAUUUAAUGCUGAACACUGCUGUUAGAGAGAAUGCAUUAUUAAUGUGAGGGGAAACUAACGGGGACCAGCAGCUCCUCGGGGCUGUGAAGAGGACGGUUGGCGUCUCUGAGGAAGCAACACCACGCCUCAAAGGUCUUCCUCGAAAUCACAGCCCUGAAACUCCAGAUGAAGACUAGACCUUUAUUCUGUACGCAGAGAGAGAGCCGAAGAAUCACCAGGAUGAAUAUUCAGAAUGUUUCAAAUCCCUGAGCUGUGGAGGAU
Rhinichthys klamathensis goyatoka is the source of this 387-nucleotide long non-coding RNA. RefSeq lists it as uncharacterized. The transcript has 5 exons. Lineage: Eukaryota; Metazoa; Chordata; Actinopteri; Cypriniformes; Leuciscidae. The record is from RefSeq and is a predicted model, not a curated record.